RNAcentral lists this ribosomal RNA (466 nucleotides) under Graphis scripta. RNAcentral describes it as "eukaryotic LSU rRNA". It matches the Rfam family "Eukaryotic large subunit ribosomal RNA", at positions 143 to 625 of the family's 3401-position model. Lineage: Eukaryota; Fungi; Ascomycota; Lecanoromycetes; Ostropales; Graphidaceae. The record is from RNAcentral.
UUGUAAUUUGGAGAAGGUGUUUCGGAAGAGAUGAUGGUCCAAGUCCCUUGGAACAGGGCGUCGCAGAGGGUGAGAAUCCCGUAUGUGACCAAUCAUCGAUUCCAUGUGAAACCCUUUCGACGAGUCGAGUUGUUUGGGAAUGCAGCUCUAAAUGGGUGGUAAAUUUCAUCUAAAGCUAAAUACCUGCCAGAGACCGAUAGCGCACAAGUAGAGUGAUCGAAAGAUGAAAAGCACUUUGAAAAGAGAGUCAAACAGUACGUGAAAUUGUUGAAAGGGAAGCGCUUGCAAUCAGACUCGUUUGCAGAAGUUCAGCCUUCUUUCGAGAUGGUGUAUUCUUCUGUCAACGGGCCAGCAUCAGUUUCGGCGGUUGGAUAAAGACUUUGAGAACGUAUCUCUCCUCGGAGAGUGUUAUAGCUCGGAGUGUAAUGCAGCAGCUGAGACUGAGGUCCGCGCUUUUGCUAGGAUG